Molecule: long non-coding RNA, 805 nt
Organism: Uloborus diversus
Lineage: Eukaryota; Metazoa; Arthropoda; Arachnida; Araneae; Uloboridae
Exons: 3
Source: RefSeq, a predicted model, not a curated record
UUUUCAUCAAUGUGUCAUUAAGAAAUCAAUGUGUCAUUUUAUUAUACGAAAAUAUAGCUAUAUUCUUAUUUGUAUAGAAAUCAGUAGUAAAUAGAAAAAAUUGCAAACAUCGAAAAACGUUUUUUGACCAAUUUCGACGUGAAUCUGUAUAACUUCUGUAUAACAAGACCAAUUCCGGAACCGGAUGUCACGUGAUCAUGAUGACUUGUCGCUACUUCCAUUUUGUAUUUGUAUGGCGGCAAACGGCAUCACGGCAUGGCAACUUUGGGAAAGAAACAUCGCCAUUGAUAAAUUGGAUUCAGCAUAUUGAAACAUCAUAAUGAACUACAAUUUAAAUUUGUUACUUAGUUAGUGCUUGGAAAAUCUGCAGGAAAGUUAUUGGGAUAUACUCAACAAGCAAUAAUGUUGCUGCAGACCCGGACAAAAAUGCUUGUGCUCCCUAUGCUAUUUCAAUACGUGAAAACAAGAUUUGGUUAAGUAUUCUGAAGUGUUCAUGUGUGGAAAGGAUUGAGUGCUGCGAACAAUCCCAAUGCUCUAUGGUGAAUGGAUGAUUAGAUUUUGUUGCUCUGGUCUUUACCUGAGUGUGUUUAAUUGACUUCAUAUAUUUACAGCUGAUGCAGUGUUUCCUGUAUAUACUAUGUAAACCAGUUCUGUUUAAUUUGUUUUUAAUAAAUAUUUUAAGAAAUAGUUUUGCUUCUACUCUUUAUUUAGGCAAGAUAUUGUAUUUUGCUACGAGUAGUCUGACUCUUGAAUAACAACUUGAUCCCCAAAAGCUGAGAAACUACUUAGUAAUUUCAUGCCUUGC